GAUGAAGAACGUAGCGAAAUGCGAUAAGUAAUGUGAAUUGCAGAAUUCAGUGAAUCAUCGAAUCUUUGAACGCACCUUGCGCUCCUUGGUAUUCCGAGGAGCAUGCCUGUUUGAGUGUCAUUAAUUUCUCAACCUCACCAGCUUUUGCUGAGUGCAGGCUUGGAUGUGGGGGUUGCAGGUCCGCUAACGUGGUCUGCUCCUCUGAAAUGUAUUAGUGGGUUGGGCCCCUAAUCUAUUGGUGUGAUAAUUAUCUACGCCGUGGAUUUGGGUGGCUGACUUAGACCCGCUUCUAACCGUCCUUCACCGGACAACUCUUGACAAUUUUGACCUCAAAUCAGGUAAGACUACCCGCUGAACUUAAGCAUAUCAAUAAGCGGAGGA
This 381-nucleotide unclassified non-coding RNA is filed under the name soil metagenome. RNAcentral's name for it is "partial contains 5.8S ribosomal RNA, internal transcribed spacer 2, and large subunit ribosomal RNA". The stretch from base 1 to 120 matches the Rfam family "5.8S ribosomal RNA", at positions 35 to 154 of the family's 154-position model. The record is from RNAcentral.